ACUAAUACCGCAUAUACUCUUGCUACACAAGUAGAGUAGAGGAAAGGAGCAAUCCGCUUUACGAUGAGCCUGCGGUCUAUUAGCCUGUUGGUGGGGUAACGGCCUACCAAAGCUACGAUAGGUAGCCGACCUGAGAGGGUGACCGGCCACAUUGGGACUGAGAUACGGCCCAGACUCCUACGGGAGGCAGCAGCUGAGAAUCUUCCACAAUGGACGAAAGUCUGAUGGAGCGACAUCGCGUGAGGGAUGAAGGCCUUCGGGUUGUAAACCUCGGAAAUUAUCGAAGAAUGAGUGACAGUAGAUAAUGUAAGCCUCGGCUAACUACGUGCCAGCAGCCGCGGUAAUACGUAGGAGGCAAACGUUGCUCGGAUUUACUGGGCGUAAAGGGUGAGUAGGCGGACUUAUAAGUCUAAGGUGAAAGACCGAAGCUCAACUUCGGGAACGCCUCGGAUACUGUGAGUCUUGGAUAUUGUAGGGGAUGAUGGAAUUCUCGGUGUAGCGGUGGAAUGCGCAGAUAUCGAGAGGAACACCUAUAGCGAAGGCAGUCAUCUGGGCAUUUAUCGACGCUGAAUCACGAAAGCUAGGGGAGCAAACAGGCUUAGAUACCCUGGUAGUCCUAGCCGUAAACGUUGUACACUAGGUGCUUCUAUCUAAAUAGGAGUGCCGUAGCUAACGUCUUAAGUGUACCGCCUGAGGAGUAUGCCCGCAAGGGUGAAACUCAAAGAAAUUGACGGGUCCCCGCACAAGUGGUGGAGCAUGUGGUUUAAUUCGAUGAUACGCGAAAAACCUUACCUGGGUUUGAAUUGUAAGAUCAAUGAUUUAGAGAUAAGUCAGACCGCAAGGAGAUUUUACAUAGGUGCUGCAUGCCUGUCGUCAGCUCGUGUCGUGAGAUGUUGGGUUAAGUCCCGCAACGAGCGCAACCCUCACCCUUUGUUGCUACCGAGUAAUGUCGGGCACUCUUAGGGGACUGCCUACGUUCAAGUAGGAGGAAGGUGGGGAUGAUGUCAAGUCCUCAUGGCCCUUAUGUCCAGGGCUACACACGUGCUACAAUGGCAAGUACAAAGAGAUGCGAGACCGCGAGGUGGAGCGAAACUCAAAAAAGUUGCCUCAGUUCGGAUUGGAGUCUGAAACUCGACUCCAUGAAGUUGGAAUCACUAGUAAUCGUAGAUCAGAACGCUACGGUGAAUACGUUCCCGGGGAUUGUACACACC
Molecule: ribosomal RNA, 1211 nt
Filed under: Brachyspira murdochii
Lineage: Bacteria; Pseudomonadati; Spirochaetota; Spirochaetia; Brachyspirales; Brachyspiraceae
Description: bacterial SSU rRNA
Rfam family: Bacterial small subunit ribosomal RNA
Source: RNAcentral